UACGUAGGGUGCAAGCGUUGUCCGGAAUUAUUGGGCGUAAAGAGCUCAUAGGCGGUUUGUCGCGUCUGCUGUGAAAACGCGGGGCUCAACUCCGCGCCUGCAGUGGGUACGGGCAGACUAGAGUGCAGUAGGGGAGACUGGAAUUCCUGGUGUAGCGGUGGAAUGCGCAGAUAUCAGGAGGAACACCGGUGGCGAAGGCGGGGUCUCUGGGCUGUAACUGACGUGGAGGAGCGAAAAGCGUUGGGUAGCGAACAGG
RNAcentral lists this ribosomal RNA (256 nucleotides) under uncultured bacterium. RNAcentral's name for it is "partial 16S ribosomal RNA". It matches the Rfam family "Bacterial small subunit ribosomal RNA", at positions 524 to 776 of the family's 1533-position model. The record is from RNAcentral.